Molecule: ribosomal RNA, 359 nt
Filed under: uncultured bacterium
Lineage: Bacteria
Description: bacterial SSU rRNA
Rfam family: Bacterial small subunit ribosomal RNA
Source: RNAcentral
AACGAACGCUGGCGGCAUGCCUAACACAUGCAAGUCGAACGAGACCUUCGGGUCUAGUGGCGCACGGGUGCGUAACGCGUGGGAAUCUGCCCUUGGGUUCGGAAUAACAGUUAGAAAUGACUGCUAAUACCGGAUGAUGUCUUCGGACCAAAGAUUUAUCGCCCAAGGAUGAGCCCGCGUAAGAUUAGCUAGUUGGUGAGGUAAUGGCUCACCAAGGCGACGAUCUAGUCUGGUCUGAGAGGAUGAUCAGCCACACUGGGGACUGAGACACGGCCCAGACUCCUACGGGAGGCAGCAGUGGGGAAUAUUGGACAAUGGGCGAAAGCCUGACCAGCAAUGCCGCGUGAGUGAUGAAGGCC